UACGUAGGUGGAGAGCGUUGUCCGGAAUUACUGGGUGUAAAGCGCGUGUAGGCGGGAGGCCAAGUCUGUGGUGAAAUCGCUCGGCUUAACUGGGCGGGGUCCAUGGAAACUGGUCACCUGGAGGUCGGUAGAGGCAAGUGGAAUUCCCGGUGUAGUGGUGAAAUGCGUAGAGAUCGGGAGGACCACCACUGGCGAACGCGGCUUGCUGGGCCGCUCCUGACGCUGAGACGCGAUAUCCUGGGGAGCGCACAGG
This 253-nucleotide ribosomal RNA is filed under the name uncultured bacterium. RNAcentral describes it as "partial 16S ribosomal RNA". It matches the Rfam family "Bacterial small subunit ribosomal RNA", at positions 524 to 776 of the family's 1533-position model. The record is from RNAcentral.